This 492-nucleotide ribosomal RNA is filed under the name uncultured bacterium. Its description in RNAcentral is "partial 16S ribosomal RNA". It matches the Rfam family "Bacterial small subunit ribosomal RNA", at positions 29 to 507 of the family's 1533-position model. The record is from RNAcentral.
AGUGAACGCUGGCGGUAGGCCUAACACAUGCAAGUCGAACGGCCGCACAGUAAGAGCUUGCUCUUACGGGUGGCGAGGGGCGGGCGGGUGAGGAAUACAUCAGAAUCUUCUUUUUCGUGGGGGACAACGGAGGGAAAGUUCCGCUAAUAGCGCAUAUGAUCAACGGGUUGAAGCAGUAGUUAUUGGCGGCUUGCGUGUCUCAUUUAGCUGAUGCCGGAUUAGCUAGUUGGGUGGGUAAAGGCUCACCAAGGCGACGAUGCGUAGCUGACCUGAGAGGAUGAUCAGCCACACUGGAACUGAGACACGGUCCAGACUCCUACGGGAGGCAGCAGUGGGGAAUAUUCGGCAAUGGGCGAAAGCCUGAUCGAGCCAUACCGCGUGAGUGAAGAAGGCCUUCGGGUUGUAAAGCCCUUUUGUUGGGGAAGAAAAGAAGCAUAUGAAUCCCCCGAUGUUCUGACGGUACCCAAACAAUAAGCCACGGCUAACUUCGUG